Molecule: long non-coding RNA, 339 nt
Filed under: Carica papaya (papaya)
Lineage: Eukaryota; Viridiplantae; Streptophyta; Magnoliopsida; Brassicales; Caricaceae
Description: long non-coding RNA (CPAP_LNC002416)
Source: RNAcentral
AUCCUCUUGAACCAAGAUCCACUAUAAUAACCCUCUUCACCAUUACUAAGGCAAGGCAAAGGGUCAAACCCGCUUACAAUUUUUAAUCUUCAUGCAUUAUGCUCAAUAUUUCCAUGAUUAAACAAUAUCAAACACUACGGAGACAUUAAAUAUCAAAUCAACAUAUCCAACCAUGUAAAGCAUCACUUUACACAAGAUUUCAUAUAUCUCAAUCAUGUAACUAACUCCCAUGCAUGAUGCCUGAAGUUCAGAACCCGCUCGGGGUCCAACCCAUUUGGCUAAAAACCCCAUUAUAUCUGGUCUUGACCAUCGAGGUAUUUCUUGCAGCUGGGGCUCCUU